GAGGCUAUGAUCAUUAUGAUGGAGAUUGUGUUGCCAAUGUGCUUUGUUUUGUUUCGGUGAGGCCUAGGCCUAAUAGGAACUUCAUCCAAUAAACAAUGUCGGUAAUGGUUUGCCGAGGAAGGGACCACUUUGAUACCGCGGGUGCACAAAAAAUGUUCCUUUUCCUGUGAUGGAGCUUCAAUUUGUAGGCGUCGCAUGCUGGUGCGAGUUCCAGCCGGUCCGUAUUGCUUGGGAGAGAGAGCUUUCUAGAGAGAGAGAUAGAGAGAGAGAGAGGGUUUUCUAAAGAGGGAGUUUUAGGGCGUGGAAGGAAGCAGCCAUGGUGGAGUGUGCAGCGCGGGGCACGGGAACGCCAUGCGUAGGGCCUGCAACAAGGCGCUGUGGCCUCUGUGGAGCUGUCUCCUACUGCUCCCCCUCUCACCAGAUUGCCCACUGGGGUCAUCAUAAAGAAGAAUGCGGUAGACUAGAACAACAAAUGAGAGACAUGGAUACUUUGAAUGAUUUUCCAUUUACAUUCUCUACUGAAGCUACAUUCCAGGUUUUUGCGAAGGAGUUGACACGUUGCUCAUUCCUAAAGAAGAGAGGCCUUCAUCAAACUGGUCUAUGGAAAUCAGAAUGCAGUUGUGCAACUUCACUAGCUUCUCUUGAUUAUUCAUGGAGAAUGGAUAAUUGGGAUUUACCAAGUGCCAUGUGCCCAUGUACUGAACCACAACAUAACUUAUCAAGCAUUUUGAGCAGUUGGGAGAGUUACUAUAAGUGGAGGUGUCUCCCUCUUCAUUCACCGGUUUCCUUCCUCCUCCAUCUGCCCCUUAGCAUGUUCUAUGGAAUUCAACUUCUUGGCAUGGGAAGAGCAGUUUCUCGAAUGGAUGACAAGUUGCGUAUUCACUACUUAGGAACACGCUUCUUCGAUAAGAUUGCUGGUGCAAGGUGCGGGGCAAAUGCCAUCACCCACAUUCUUGUGGGAACUAUUUCCUUCGAGGAUCCCCCUGUUAUUGGUCCAGAGAAGGAGCUAAGCCAAAUUUCUGUCUUUGGGGAGUUGCGAGCGUUGUUUCCUAAUAUCCAAAUACACAUAGAUCUAAUUGGGCCUUCGAUUCCGCUCUCUAGGGAUGGUGAGCAGCUUGUACUUGACAAUUAUAUCAGGUGUUCGGAUAUGGAUUGCUCGUGUAAGUUAUCAAUGUCUACUGCUGAAAAUGCAUGCAACACCAAUUAUUCAAUAGUGAGUUUACAGCUCUGGAAGGGUCUUUAUCAUGACCGUUUCAAAGACAUAACAAAGGAGUCAUUCCCUAAUUAUAUUACUGCUCCAAAUGCUGGUGUUGCUGCGUAUCCAGGUUGGGUGCCAACCAUUACAUGGCAGGGUACCAAGUCCAGGUCCAAAACCCUGCGACUCAUCUGAGUCUUAAAAUGGUUAGAAGCCUUUCUGCGUGAUAUUCAUGGAGAGUUGGGCCAGUGGGACUGCUGACUCCGGCUCAUGACCUUGGUGAGUCGGGACCUUCGUCCAAGUUUUGAAUCACUGUUGCAGACUGAGUGGUCGAACAUAGUGCAACACAUGACACGCCAUAAAUGCAAUUCAGACAUAUUUCUAUUGGUUAUGUAAAGAAGUGCACUGUUGUUUACAAAGAUCUAUUCAGAAAAAGUUUGAAACAUUCAAUGUCAUUCAUAAUACAAGGUGAUUGGGAAUCUCAGUUAACUUGAGUAAACAUGUGGUUGACUGAUUUGCUUACGUGUAGCGUUUUCACUGACUUUCCAACCACCCCAUUUGCUGAAAAAUGGAAAAUUUAUUCUCGUAGUACCCAAUCUUUUAUAGUAGCAUUCUCCUUUACUAUUCACCUACUUGUAGCAUGGUUGAUCACUCAAACAGAUGCAGUCGCUGUGUGAAUCAUCGGUUAUUUGUUCAUUGCAUAUUCUGACAAACAAUGCGUCUUUGAUUAACCUUUUUGUUAUGUAACUGAAACCAUUAGUAAAGAAACUGCUACAAUAAUUCCAAACAUUUUUCUUUCCUGUAGUCUGGACUUAUUGUCUUGUUGGCUUACGUUUAAGCCCCUAUUAUGUCCUCCUUUUUCUUGUAUGCUGUUUCCAGGAACUAAUAAAGGAAAUAAAAGUGCCAGCAAUAUUCUCGGAUUACUGCGAAGAAGCUGCAAAUCUCGCAGCUUCCUGCAUAACAAGCAUUUUUGAUGCUCCUCUCUCUUUACCUAUUCAGUUGAAUCCUUUCAGGCAGCCAUUUGUGGUGGAAGAUGGGCCUCUUCACCUUCCAUGUUAUUCAAACUGUUUCCUCUUUGGGAUGUAG
Amborella trichopoda is the source of this 2281-nucleotide non-coding RNA. The record is from RefSeq and is a predicted model, not a curated record. Lineage: Eukaryota; Viridiplantae; Streptophyta; Magnoliopsida; Amborellales; Amborellaceae.